Molecule: ribosomal RNA, 654 nt
Filed under: uncultured archaeon
Lineage: Archaea
Description: bacterial SSU rRNA
Rfam family: Archaeal small subunit ribosomal RNA
Source: RNAcentral
GCCUAAAGCGUCCGUAGCCUGUUCUACAAGUUUCCGGUUAAAUCCAUUAGCUCAACUAAUGGGCCGCCGAAAAUACUGUGGAACUAGGGAGUGGGAGAGGUAGACGGUAUUCGGUAGGAAGGGGUAAAAUCCUUUGAUCUAUCGAGGACCACCUGUGGCGAAGGCGGUCUACCAGAACACGUUCGACGGUGAGGGAUGAAAGCUGGGGGAGCAAACCGGAUUAGAUACCCGGGUAGUCCCAGCUGUAAACUAUGCAAACUCAGUGAUGCAUUGGCUUGUGGCCAGUGCAGUGCCGCAGAGAAGUCGUUAAGUUUGCCGCCUGGGAAGUACGUACGCAAGUAUGAAACUUAAAGGAAUUGGCGGGGGAGCACCACAAGGGGUGAAGCCUGCGGUUUAAUUGGAGUCAACGCCAGAAAUCUUACCCGGAGAGACAGCAGGAUGAAGGUCAAGCUGAAGACUUUACCAGACAAGCUGAGAAGUGGUGCAUGGCCGUCGCCAGCUCGUGCCGUGAGGUGUCCUGUUAAGUCAGGUAACGAGCGAGAUCCUUGCCUCUAGUUGCCACCAUUACUCUCAGGAGUAGUGGGGCGAAUUAGCGGGACUGCCGUAGUUAAUACGGAGGAAGGAGAGGGCCACGGCAGGUCAGUAUGCCCCGAA